UAACACUGAGAAACAAUCUAUAGUUUUCUGUCCUCCAAAUUUCAAAUACUUCUUUUUUUCUUCUGGGGAAUUCUUGAAACCCAACAUGGCCUUCAAGUUUCUCCAAAACCAUCCAAUUCUUGCUCUAAUUCUAGCUUUGUUAUCCGCCCAUGAAAUUUUGUACACAGUCUUUGCUGCCUCUGGUGGCAGAAUGGGUGGUUCUUCCUUCGCUUCAGAGGAAGAAUCAUCUUCAUGUUCGUCUUCUAAGUCUUACAAUAUAUAUCAUUAUGACAAUAACCCAAGAUUUAUUAGUGGAUAUAUUGAUUACUCUGUGGGGAUUUAUCUUUCGAUCGCUUAUCUUAAUAGAGCAAGUGUUCUCAGGGUUCAGGUUGGGUUAUCAGGCAUGGCUCAUUCAAUUCAAAGAGAACUUAAUACACUUGCUACAGCUGUAGACACAUCUAAAAACAAGAGCUUCCACUUCUUCUUAACAGAGUCUGCAGUAGCUCUGCUUUGACAUGGAAAUUACUGGAUUUCUGGUUAUUCAUCUGUGGAACGGAGGUGGAAUCUUGAAGCUGUGGAAAAGGAACUCAGACAACUUUCAACUGAUGAGAGGUUGAAAUAUGACAUUGAGUCGCUUGUCAAUGUUGACAACAUGAAAGUACAAAGAACCUUUAUCCCAAGGAACAACAAAGUUGAAAAAAAUCACAUAGUGGUAACAAUCCUGGUAGCUGUUAAAGGUACAUUAAAUCUACCUGAAAUUAAAAGUACUGAAGACUUGAGGACAGCCUUGCAUUACUUGAAUACCAUCAGUUCCAAUAAUACACUGGCUGUAGAGGUGCUUUGGAGCCCGCAGGCAGAACAUGAUACAUUGUCAGAGGAUGAAUUGCUUGAAAACUACCUUCUUUUGAGGCCGAUAUGAUAAUGAUAAUUGCAAUCUGUUUGGAAGUCUGUAUGGCAUAUACCAUUUUCGGCUCGUAAAGGCACUUGAAGAAGAAAAUAAAUU
Quercus lobata is the source of this 982-nucleotide long non-coding RNA. RefSeq lists it as uncharacterized. The record is from RefSeq and is a predicted model, not a curated record. The transcript is spliced from 6 exons. NCBI's taxonomy places the organism in Eukaryota, Viridiplantae, Streptophyta, Magnoliopsida, Fagales, Fagaceae.